RNAcentral lists this unclassified non-coding RNA (299 nucleotides) under uncultured Nectriaceae. RNAcentral's name for it is "sequence contains ITS1". The stretch from base 1 to 105 matches the Rfam family "5.8S ribosomal RNA", at positions 50 to 154 of the family's 154-position model. The record is from RNAcentral. Lineage: Eukaryota; Fungi; Ascomycota; Sordariomycetes; Hypocreales; Nectriaceae.
GAAAUGCGAUACGUAAUGUGAAUUGCAGAUUUCAGUGAAUCAUCGAAUCUUUGAACGCACAUUGCGCCCGCCAGUAUUCUGGCGGGCAUGCCUGUUCGAGCGUCAUUUCAACCCUCAAGCCCAGCUUGGUGUUGGGACUCGCGAGUCAAAUCGCGUUCCCCAAAUUGAUUGGCGGUCACGUCGAGCUUCCAUAGCGUAGUAGUAAAACCCUCGUUACUGGUAAUCGUCGCGGCCACGCCGUUAAACCCCAACUUCUGAAUGUUGACCUCGGAUCAGGUAGGAAUACCCGCUGAACUUAA